RNAcentral lists this ribosomal RNA (253 nucleotides) under uncultured bacterium. RNAcentral's name for it is "partial 16S ribosomal RNA". It matches the Rfam family "Bacterial small subunit ribosomal RNA", at positions 524 to 776 of the family's 1533-position model. The record is from RNAcentral.
UACGAAGGGGGCUAGCGUUGCUCGGAAUUACUGGGCGUAAAGCGCACGUAGGCGGCUCUUUAAGUCGGGGGUGAAAUCCUGGAGCUCAACUCCAGAACUGCCUUCGAUACUGUAGAGCUCGAGUCCGGGAGAGGUGAGUGGAACUGCGAGUGUAGAGGUGAAAUUCGUAGAUAUUCGCAAGAACACCAGUGGCGAAGGCGGCUUACUGGUCCGGUUCUGACGCUGAGGCGCGAAAGCGUGGGGAGCAAACAGG